This 217-nucleotide ribosomal RNA is filed under the name uncultured prokaryote. Its description in RNAcentral is "partial 16S ribosomal RNA". It matches the Rfam family "Bacterial small subunit ribosomal RNA", at positions 524 to 740 of the family's 1533-position model. The record is from RNAcentral.
CACGGGGGGAGCAAGCGUUGUUCGGAAUCACUGGGCGUAAAGGGCGUGUAGGCGGCCAAGUAAGUGGGCUGUGAAAUGCCUCGGCUUACCCGAGGAUCUGCAUUCCAAACUGCUUGGCUUGAGUACGGGAGAGGAUGAGGGAAUUCCUGGUGUAGCGGUGAAAUGCGUAGAGAUCGGGAGGAAGGCCGGUGGCGAAGGCGGCGCUCUGGAACAUUUC